RNAcentral lists this ribosomal RNA (482 nucleotides) under uncultured bacterium. RNAcentral's name for it is "partial 16S ribosomal RNA". It matches the Rfam family "Bacterial small subunit ribosomal RNA", at positions 30 to 507 of the family's 1533-position model. The record is from RNAcentral.
AUUGAACGCUGGCGGCAUGCCUUACACAUGCAAGUCGAACGGUAACGGGCCUUCGGGUGCCGACGAGUGGCGAACGGGUGAGUAAUACAUCGGAACGUGCCCGAUCGUGGGGGAUAACGAGGCGAAAGCUUUGCUAAUACCGCAUACGAUCUACGGAUGAAAGCAGGGGACCGCAAGGCCUUGCGCGGACGGAGCGGCCGAUGGCAGAUUAGGUAGUUGGUGGGAUAAAAGCUUACCAAGCCGACGAUCUGUAGCUGGUCUGAGAGGAUGAUCAGCCACACUGGGACUGAGACACGGCCCAGACUCCUACGGGAGGCAGCAGUGGGGAAUUUUGGACAAUGGGCGCAAGCCUGAUCCAGCCAUGCCGCGUGCAGGAUGAAGGCCUUCGGGUUGUAAACUGCUUUUGUACGGAACGAAAAGCCUUCUUUUAAUACAGGAGGGUCAUGACGGUACCGUAAGAAUAAGCACAGGCUAACUACGUG